Molecule: long non-coding RNA, 1669 nt
Filed under: Medicago truncatula (barrel medic)
Lineage: Eukaryota; Viridiplantae; Streptophyta; Magnoliopsida; Fabales; Fabaceae
Description: long non-coding RNA (MTRU_LNC006734)
Source: RNAcentral
UCAUAGUUUAUCAUCACAGAAUACAGCUCAUCAUCCUUUUGAUCUGUCGUAAGGAUUGCUGAUCCUGCAUAUUUCGUUUUCCUGAUUUAAUUAAUUCAAGUAGUAGUAGUGGCCGGCCACAUAUUUCAUUUGAAUAUAAUACGGUAGUUCAUUAGUCUUUUCCUUUAUAAAUCUGGUUUAAUAUAAUUCAAACUAAAUGCUUAUAUAAAUAUAUAUAAUGACAGAUGAUUUUUUUAUUUUUUUUUGGAGGAAAACAGGGAGUGCAAAGGCUGGUUUUCUUCACAUUCAGAUUAUUAAAAUAGUGUGAGAGAGCCGUCAAGGAAUCGGAGAAGGCAGAAAGUGUUAGGAAUCGGAGGAGGCACUUUCUGCCUUCAGAAAAUAUAUGAUAAAUCCAAUCGCAGGCGGUUCAGAAAUUAAAUAGUAUAAAUAGAUAGAUAUUUCAACAAUUUUGUGAUCAUAGUUAAUAAUCAGUCAUAAGCACAUACAAAGCCAAUAAUCCUAAUAUAACUUUUUCAGUGUACUAGUUUUGCAAAUGGAAAAUAAACUAUCCAUGUGUUAGUGAAUGGAAAGGAACCUUCAGGUUCUGUUUAAGAUGGAUUGUAUAAAAAGGAUCAAAUAGCACAGUUUACUAUAUCCAUGAAUAUAUAUGACAAAACUUAAAUCAAUGAUGUUGAUUUAUCACCAGAAACAUGAAUUGAAUGUUCUCAAUUCUGCUUCAGCAAGCUUUUAAAUAUAUCAUGGAUAGUGAAUUAUUUCAUCGCAUGUUCCAGAGAACUCAAAAGAAAUUUGGUUGGUUUCUAAGAUUAUGCAGAAGUUUUCUUCUUAUCAUCAAGCUAUCCUUUAUGUAUUCAGUUAAACUUACUUGACAGGCCAUAGUGUCUUUUAAGGGCUAAUAUAUAGUGGGCCGGCUAUGACACCUUAAGUUAUCUGCACAAGCUUCGAUAUUUUGGGACGUCUAUGACACUAAUCUAUGGUUGACUCUUGGAGAAGGGGUCUUAAUCCCUUAGUUUUCGUAUGUAGCCUCUUAAGUCUUAGGAGAAGGGGUCUUAAUCCCUUAGUUUUCGUAUGUGUGCACUCUUUCCGGUUGAUGGAUAAUCUUAACUACACUGUUCAACUUCAUUCAAUACUCACUCGGAUAGACUAAUACAGCUACAUUAUGCAGCAAGUAAAGCUAUAUCAUAAAGAAUUUCAAGGUUAUGGUGCGCGUGUUGAUUCAAACCCUUUCUAUAUACCUUUUCAACUUGCGAGGUCCACAAAAAGCACAUGGGAUCCCUUUAAAACUGUAAUUCCAUGCAGAUUAUAAAGUCUUCAUAGCGGAAUUCAACCAAGUUUAACUUAUUCCCCCAUCCAGCUAAUAAUUGACUUGGUGUGAGGGGUCCAAAUUCAGUAAAUCUUCAGUUCUCUUUAAACUGGAUCCCUAUACUUAUAUGUACUUGUGGAGACCAACACUGGUUGUUAGACUAGAUUUUAACACAUUAUAUUUCUUUUAGGGAAUACUUUUCAGAUCUUGCAUUGGGAGGGUCAUUAUGUCAACAAUCAACUCUUGAUCGCCCUUCUAUGCCAAGUACAAUUGUGUUGAAUUAAAAAAAUAAAAAAUAAAAAAAUGGUUUAAACUACUAUCUGUUAUGGACUUAUGGUUAAUCAAAUGUGAAUGAAUGGUAAUACUAGA